RNAcentral lists this transfer RNA (75 nucleotides) under Pasteurella canis. RNAcentral describes it as "tRNA-???(tgca)". It matches the Rfam family "tRNA". Rfam says of the family: Transfer RNA (tRNA) molecules are approximately 80 nucleotides in length. Their secondary structure includes four short double-helical elements and three loops (D, anti-codon, and T loops). Lineage: Bacteria; Pseudomonadati; Pseudomonadota; Gammaproteobacteria; Pasteurellales; Pasteurellaceae. The record is from RNAcentral.
GGGGAUAUAGCUCAGCUGGGAGAGCGCCUGCCUUGCACCGCAGGAGGUCAGCGGUUCGAUCCCGCUUAUCUCACC